CCUACGGGUGGCAGCAGUAGGGAAUCUUCCACAAUGGACGAAAGUCUGAUGGAGCAACGCCGCGUGAGUGAAGAAGGGUUUCGGCUCGUAAAGCUCUGUUGGUAGUGAAGAAAGAUAGAGGUAGUAACUGGCCUUUAUUUGACGGUAUUUACUUAGAAAGUCACGGCUAACUACGUGCCAGCAGCUGCUGUAAUACGUAGGUGGCAAGUGUUGUCCGGAUUGGUUGGGCGUAAAGCGAGUGCAGGCGGUUCAAUAAGUCUGAUGUGAAAGCGUUCGGCUCAACCGGAGAAUUGCAUCAGAUACUGUUGAACUUGAGUGCAGAAGAGGAGAGUGGAACUCCAUGUGGAGCGGUGGAAUGCGUAGAUAUAAGGAAGAACACCAGUGGCGAAGGCGGCUUUCUGGUCUGCAACUGACGCUGAGGCUCGAAAGCAUGGGUAGCGAACAGGAUUAGAUACCCGAGUAGUC
RNAcentral lists this ribosomal RNA (465 nucleotides) under uncultured bacterium. RNAcentral describes it as "partial 16S ribosomal RNA". It matches the Rfam family "Bacterial small subunit ribosomal RNA", at positions 338 to 795 of the family's 1533-position model. The record is from RNAcentral.